RNAcentral lists this unclassified non-coding RNA (328 nucleotides) under Hevea brasiliensis (rubber tree). Lineage: Eukaryota; Viridiplantae; Streptophyta; Magnoliopsida; Malpighiales; Euphorbiaceae. The record is from RNAcentral.
GAAGAUGAUUCGGAGGUUAGCAUUAGGGUACUUUCCCAGUGGAGAAACCCUAUACAAAAGGAGCUCCAACGGCGAAUUGUUGAGAUGUGUGGAUGCAAAAGAGGCGAAGAGAAUCCUUUUUGAGACUCAUGAGGGAAAUUGUGCAACCCAUGCCAAUGGGCACAUGAUGGCUAAGCAAAUCAUGCGACGGGGAUAUUUUUGGACUACAAUGGAAAAGGACUGCAUCGAAUAUUUCCGGAAAUGCCAUAAGUGUCAGAUCUACGCAGAUCCAAUAAAUGUUCCGCCUCACAAAUUGUUCAACCUAGCCUCACCAUGGCCUUUCGCAAUG